UCAAAGUUCCUCAAAUCUGAAGUCCAUUACAAUGGAUUGUCUAGAUUUAUUCUUGUUUGAGGAACUUUGAACUGAAAAUCCAUCUCUUAUUUCUUCUCUUCUAUGGAAAGCCAUAUCCACACCAUGAGAAAGCCAUAUCCACACCAUGAGAAAAAUCGAAGACAUAGAAGGUAGUUUCUGUUUUUUUAGUGUUAGCUUGGAAAUUGUAUGAAAAUAAAAUAAAAAAUAUUUUCGAGUCUUAAAAAUAGUGCAUCUUGCAACACAUUAUUUGGAUUGUUCAUUUUCAAGAUUUUUAUAUGUUUAUAGAUCUGCUUGAUUUAAACUAUUUUUUAAAUUUAAAAUUUUAUAAUUACAUAUGAAAAUAGAUUAUGGGACCAUCCUAAAAGCUUUCGACAACAAAAUGGCAUCUUAUGAUAGAGUUUUGAGGUGCAAUGGUUGUUUAAGGUUGCAACCUUGUACAAAUCACACCCUUAAUUAAAUGGAAUGAAAAAAACACUAAAGCAUAAAAGUUAGUUUAGUUAAUGGAAAAAAAGGCUGUAGAUUUCUAUAUGUUUUGGUCAUUUGUAAGAGAUUAGGUGAUUAUAUGCAGCAUUGUAGUUAUCACAUAAACAUGGGGAGUCUUCCAAAGUCCAUUUUGCAAUAUUUUCUUACCAAAGGAUUCUCUGGCAGGAGGAUAUCACUUGUGAGAGUAUUUUUAGGACUUUCAAAUUUUGGGAUGUAAUCUCUUCAAUUUAUCUAACAAAUUUUUUUUUUUAAAAUAAAGAAAAUAUAAGAGGUAAACCUUAUACUAUACGAGUAAAGUGGAUCUAAAAACCCACUAGAGAAGGUUAUUUGUAUACUGGAAAACCCUCAAAUCGAUCAUCUAGACUUUGAGAUUCAUAAACAUUAAAAAAAUGGAUUUCUAGUCCUAAAAAUAGUUUAUCAUCUAAAAUAUUAUCUGGACCGUCUAUUUUCAAGUGUUUAUAUAUCUGCUUAACUUUAAAUUUCAUAAUUGGGGGAAACAAUAUAUUUUCGUAUCGCAAGACUUUGCGGCACUGAAAUUGCAUUUUUGCAUAGUUUUGUAGUGCACCGUACUACAAUAGUAUAAGGUAUACAAACCUCACCCUUUAAAAGAUGUAUCUCUGUAUAUGUGCCUAAAUAAAUUAACGUCCUAAGAUUAAGUAGAUUCUAUCCAUUUUGGAUUGUUAACUCUGAAGUUCCUAAAAACUCAAAAAUCAAAUCAUUUUAUUUCGAUCCAAGGAGCAAGUGUCGAACGCAUAGUUAGCAAGUCAGGGAUUCUCAAUAAAUCGGCUCACCAUAAAAUUGGAAGCAAAUUGUUUUUAUCUUAAAAAGUCGGAUGAAAAAAUUGAGUAAAAAAUACGAUCGGCAAAAAUACUUUAUAUAAAGAUAUCGUUAAUAUAUCGGAAUAGGCUCAAAACAUCGGAGUCAAAAACAUCAGAUAAAUAUAUAAUAUUAAAAUUUUUGAAAUUCUAAAAAAUGAAAAUUAUAUCAAAACCAUCAAUAACUAAUUCAUCUAUAAAACUUUACGAGACUAAUAUAAUUAAGUCAAUUAAUUUAGAUGCCUCGUGACUUUCAUGCAAUCAUCCAAUAUUAAAUAUAUAAUUAACUAGUAUAUACCAAAAAAAAUUGUACAUUAAAAUCUACCCAUUAAAUACUUUAAGAAACAUCAUACCUCCUUAAUAUACUAUAUAAAUUUAUUCAUUAAAUACUUUAACUAUAGUAUCGUGACAAAUAUACUAUAUAAAUUUAUUUAUUAAAUACUCAAACAUCACCUACUUGGCAGGUAAAAAAAAAUACACGAUUUUUUUUUUUCAUUACAAGGAUUUAACUAUAGUAUGGUGACUACGGUCACUCCAUAACUAUGGUUAAAGUUUUAUGAAUUUCUUUAAUCGAAAAGAGGCUUGUAGAAAUUUGGGUGGUUAAAGUUUUAUAAAUUUCUUUAAUUGAAAAGAGGCUUGUAGAAAUUUGGGUUUCACAUCUCUGGGUUUAUGGUUUAGAGCAAUGGUUUAAAAAACUGAUCGGUGAUCCUGAUCGGGUUUCCAAAAAACCUAUCCGGAUCGACGAAUCGGUGAUCGGAUCGGAAAUCGGGUGAAUCGGUCAGAAUAAAGCUUAAAAAAAAUUCGAAAAAAUUAUUAAAAUUCAUUAUAAAUAUUGUUUUUUAGGAAUUCAAUAAAAAAUGAGGGUACUCCAUUAAGAAUUUUCAUGUUUUUGAAUGAAUAUGCGAAUAUUGAUAUGUUCUUUUCCUGCAUGAACCGCCAUUCAGCAUUUAAUUUACAGUAUUUCGUGUUCAUCCCGACACUGUUGCUGUUGGGACUCGAUAUGUGAAUAAAAUGGCUGGGAUAGGGUGGCCUCAGAAUCAUCAUCUCUCUCAUUUUCUCUUUGAAUAAUAUGGAUUAAAAAAAAAAUACAAAUUUUCAAAAAAAUC
Molecule: long non-coding RNA, 2425 nt
Filed under: Amborella trichopoda
Lineage: Eukaryota; Viridiplantae; Streptophyta; Magnoliopsida; Amborellales; Amborellaceae
Description: long non-coding RNA (ATRI_LNC002466)
Source: RNAcentral